RNAcentral lists this ribosomal RNA (496 nucleotides) under uncultured bacterium. RNAcentral's name for it is "partial 16S ribosomal RNA". It matches the Rfam family "Bacterial small subunit ribosomal RNA", at positions 28 to 506 of the family's 1533-position model. The record is from RNAcentral.
GAUGAACGCUGGCGGCGUGCCUAAUACAUGCAAGUCGAGCGAACAGAUAAGGAGCUUGCUCCUUUGACGUUAGCGGCGGACGGGUGAGUAACACGUGGGUAACCUACCUAUAAGACUGGAAUAACUCCGGGAAACCGGGGCUAAUGCCGGAUAACAUUUAGAACCGCAUGGUUCUAAAGUGAAAGAUGGUUUUGCUAUCACUUAUAGAUGGACCCGCGCCGUAUUAGCUAGUUGGUAAGGUAACGGCUUACCAAGGCAACGAUACGUAGCCGACCUGAGAGGGGGAUCGGCCACACUGGAACUGAGACACGGUCCAGACUCCUACGGGAGGCAGCAGUAGGGAAUCUUCCGCAAUGGGCGAAAGCCUGACGGAGCAACGCCGCGUGAGUGAUGAAGGUCUUCGGAUCGUAAAACUCUGUUAUUAGGGAAGAACAAAUGUGUAAGUAACUGUGCACGUCUUGACGGUACCUAAUCAGAAAGCCACGGCUAACUACGU